CGCCGCGUGANCGAUGAAGGCCUUCGGGUCGUAAANNUCUUUCAGCGGGGACUAUAGUGAAGGUACCCGCAGAAGCAGGAGCGGCUAACUACGUGCCAGCAGCCGCGGUAAUACNUAGGGUCCAAGCGUUGUUCGGAAUUACUGGGCGUAAAGCGAGUGUAGGCGGUUCGUUAGGUCNANUGUGAAAUCCCCCGGCUCAACUGGGAGGGUGCAGUCGAAACCUNCGGGCUAGAGUACNGAAGGGGAAAGUAGAAUUCCUGGUGUAGCGGUGAAAUGNGUANAUNUCNGGAAGAAUACCGGUGGUGAAAACGGCUUUCUAGGCCGUUACUGACNCUGAAACUCGAAAGCGUGGGGAGCAAACANGAUUAAAUACCCUGGNANUCCACNCCCUAAACNAUGCAUACUUGGUGUGGGCCCUUCAGUGNGUCCGUGCCGGAGCUAACNCAUUAAGUAUNCCGCCUGGGGAGUACGGNCGCAAGGCUGAUACUC
RNAcentral lists this ribosomal RNA (489 nucleotides) under uncultured bacterium. RNAcentral describes it as "partial 16S ribosomal RNA". It matches the Rfam family "Bacterial small subunit ribosomal RNA", at positions 395 to 902 of the family's 1533-position model. The record is from RNAcentral.